Molecule: ribosomal RNA, 354 nt
Filed under: Triticum aestivum (bread wheat)
Lineage: Eukaryota; Viridiplantae; Streptophyta; Magnoliopsida; Poales; Poaceae
Description: partial small subunit ribosomal RNA
Source: RNAcentral
GUACCUUGGUAGACAAUGACACAACCAAAAUUCAUGGGAGGACUUGGGUUCCGAGAUUUUGAGUUUAAUCUUGCACUUUUGGCACGUCAGUCCUGGCGUUUGUUACAACACCCAGAAUCUCUUUGUGCCCGCAUACUGAAAGUCAUCUAGUAUCCAACUACAAGCAUCCUCACUACUGAACUUAAGAAUCAUCCCUCUCAGGUCUGGAGUGCGAUCAUGGAAGGCAGAGGUGUUUUAAACCAGGGCCUCAUACGGAGAAUUGGUGACGGAGAAUCUACGGGGAUAUGGGUAGAUGAUUGGAUUCGCAUAAAAGGGACCAUGAGGCCGAUCACUUGCCUUGCAACUGGUAAGUGA